Small nuclear RNA from Telopea speciosissima, 162 nucleotides. RefSeq annotates it as U1 spliceosomal RNA. NCBI's taxonomy places the organism in Eukaryota, Viridiplantae, Streptophyta, Magnoliopsida, Proteales, Proteaceae. The record is from RefSeq and is a predicted model, not a curated record. The transcript has a single exon.
AUACAUAUGGCUAGGGAUUAAGUUGGGUGAUCAAGAAGGCCCAUUGCCUAGGUUGGUGACCUCCAUUGCACUUGGGAAGGGUGUCCGCCUAACAUCUCCCCAAGUGGGAGAGUGUACGUCAUAAUUUGUGGCAGCGGGGGUACUCGUUCGCGCGGCCCCUAU